RNAcentral lists this ribosomal RNA (118 nucleotides) under Hypsibius dujardini. Lineage: Eukaryota; Metazoa; Tardigrada; Eutardigrada; Parachela; Hypsibiidae. The record is from RNAcentral.
GCCUGCGACCAUACCACGUAGAAUGCUCCGAUCCCGUUCGAUCUCGGAAGAUAAGCUGCUCGGGCCCGGUUAGUAACUUAGAUGGGUGACCGCUUGGGAACACCGGCUGUUGCAGGCA